ACAGGAAGGUACAAUAGUCUGGAUCUACAAUGUCUCCCAGUGGCUCAUGAGACGAUGUCUUGGUCUCCAGUCUAUGGCAUUAUUGAAGGAUGUUGUAGGGCCUAAUGACACCAUGAGAUAAACAACUUUGCUCCACCACAAACUCUUCUCCAUGAUGUGCUGACUCUCCACAGGCCCAGAAGUAAUGGGGCCAAGUGAUAAUGGACUGAAACCUUCAAAUCUUUUGCCCAGUAUAAACCUUUCUUCUUUA
Ictidomys tridecemlineatus (thirteen-lined ground squirrel) is the source of this 250-nucleotide non-coding RNA. The record is from RefSeq and is a predicted model, not a curated record. Lineage: Eukaryota; Metazoa; Chordata; Mammalia; Rodentia; Sciuridae.